Long non-coding RNA from Carassius auratus (goldfish), 163 nucleotides. RefSeq lists it as uncharacterized. Lineage: Eukaryota; Metazoa; Chordata; Actinopteri; Cypriniformes; Cyprinidae. The record is from RefSeq and is a predicted model, not a curated record. The transcript is spliced from 3 exons.
GCAACUUCCUGAAGAGAAGCCUGAUCAUGGAGAAGAGAUUUCGCAUAAGAACAGAUUGUGCCAAGAGAAGAAUUUCACCGGGAGACAAUGAGGUCUGCAUGAAGACAUCGAACAGAUCUCAGCUUUCAACUCAAGACCAACAGAACAUGGUCAGAGACUGCAG